This 429-nucleotide ribosomal RNA is filed under the name Verrucomicrobiota bacterium. RNAcentral describes it as "Verrucomicrobia bacterium partial 16S ribosomal RNA". It matches the Rfam family "Bacterial small subunit ribosomal RNA", at positions 355 to 776 of the family's 1533-position model. The record is from RNAcentral. Lineage: Bacteria; Pseudomonadati; Verrucomicrobiota.
UAGGGAAUCUUCGGCAAUGGGGGGAACCCUGACCGAGCAACGCCGCGUGAGUGAAGAAGGUUUUCGGAUCGUAAAGCUCUGUUGUUAAGGAAGAACGAGUGUGAGAAUGGAAAGUUCAUGCUGUGACGGUACUUAACCAGAAAGGGACGGCUAACUACGUGCCAGCAGCCGCGGUAAUACGUAGGUCCCGAGCGUUGUCCGGAUUUAUUGGGCGUAAAACGAGCGCAGGCGGUUAGAAAAGUCUGAAGUGAAAGGCAGUGGCUCAACCAUUGUAGGCUUUGGAAACUGUUUAACUUGAGUGCAGAAGGGGAGAGUGGAAUUCCAUGUGUAGCGGUGAAAUGCGUAGAUAUAUGGAGGAACACCGGUGGCGAAAGCGGCUCUCUGGUCUGUAACUGACGCUGAGGCUCGAAAGCGUGGGGAGCGAACAGG